RNAcentral lists this ribosomal RNA (159 nucleotides) under Chaetomium globosum. RNAcentral's name for it is "5.8S ribosomal RNA". The stretch from base 64 to 159 matches the Rfam family "5.8S ribosomal RNA", at positions 1 to 96 of the family's 154-position model. Rfam says of the family: 5.8S ribosomal RNA (5.8S rRNA) is a component of the large subunit of the eukaryotic ribosome. It is transcribed by RNA polymerase I as part of the 45S precursor that also contains 18S and 28S rRNA. Functionally, it is thought that 5.8S rRNA may be involved in ribosome translocation. The record is from RNAcentral. Lineage: Eukaryota; Fungi; Ascomycota; Sordariomycetes; Sordariales; Chaetomiaceae.
CGGAGGUCACCAAACUCUUGAUAAUUUAUGGCCUCUCUGAGUCUUCUGUACUGAAUAAGUCAAAACUUUCAACAACGGAUCUCUUGGUUCUGGCAUCGAUGAAGAACGCAGCGAAAUGCGAUAAGUAAUGUGAAUUGCAGAAUUCAGUGAAUUAUCGAA